AUACCUUUCUCGGCCUUUUGGCUAAGAUCAAGUGUAGUAUUUGUUCUUAUUAGUUUAAUAUUUGAUUAGUGGCCUAAUGGGUCACAAUGGUUUUAAAUUGCUUUUUUGAGAGGUAGAUGCCAUUUCAAUAGCUUGCGAUUUGGCUUUUUGUUGCCUCUGUGUUACACUAUUGCAUUGGGUGGCACACCCCAC
Small nuclear RNA from Medicago truncatula (barrel medic), 192 nucleotides. It matches the Rfam family "U2 spliceosomal RNA". Rfam says of the family: U2 is a small nuclear RNA (snRNA) component of the spliceosome (involved in pre-mRNA splicing). Lineage: Eukaryota; Viridiplantae; Streptophyta; Magnoliopsida; Fabales; Fabaceae. The record is from Rfam.